Molecule: small RNA, 483 nt
Filed under: Pongo abelii (Sumatran orangutan)
Lineage: Eukaryota; Metazoa; Chordata; Mammalia; Primates; Hominidae
Description: processed transcript
Source: RNAcentral
GCGUGACCUAGUUGACAGGCUCUGAGGUGCUGCUGUGGCGGCGUCCGCGGGGCUGAGGCGGGUGGGAGCCGGAGCCGAGCGCGGGCUGAGGGAGGGCGGCGACUGGAGAGCGGCGAGCGGCGAGCAGCGCAGGACGCGGAGCCUCUUUCACUUUUUCCCUGCUGAGUGCCCCCUCCCACCCCUCCCACUCCACACACACCCUGUUUGCCCGUGAGCCUGGGGAACUUGCAGCUUAAAGCCAGCCACCCCCACGGCAACAUGUACCCCAGCAACAAGAAGAAAAAGGUGUGGAGAGAGGAGAAAGAACGUUUACUGAAGAUGACCUUAGAAGAGAGACGCAAAGAAUACCUAAGAGACUAUAUUCCCCUGAACAGCAUUCUAUCAUGGAAGGAGGAGAUGAAGGGCAAGGGCCAAAAUGAUGAGGUUUGUAGUGGUAUUCUGGACCACUUGAAAGGCCCAUCCUUUUUGUGAGGAGAUGGAUAU